AGAGUUUGAUCCUGGCUCAGGACGAACGCUGGCGGCGUGCUUAACACAUGCAAGUCGAACGAGGCAAUUUCCUUCGGGGAAUUACCGAGUGGCGGAUGGGUGAGUAACGCGUGAGCAAUCUGUCCCGGACAGGGGGAUAACAACUGGAAACAGUUGCUAAUACCGCAUAAGACCACGGAGUCUCAUGGCACUGAGGUAAAAGGAGUAAUCCGGUUCGGGGUGAGUUCGCAUCUGAUUACAUAGUUGGAGAGGUAACGGCCCACCUGCUCUGCCAUCAGUAAUCGACCUGAUAGGGUGACCGGCCACAUUGGGACUGACACACGGCCCAUACUCCUACGGGAGGCAGCAGUGGGGAAUAUUGGGCAAUGGGGGAAACCCUGACCCAGCAACGCCGCGUGAGGGAAGAAGGUUUUCGGAUUGUAAACCUCUGUCCUUGGGGACUAACCGAUCACAGUCCCCGAGGAGGAAGCCCCGGCUAACUACGUGCCAGCACCCGCGGUAAUACCUACGGGGCGAGCGUUGUCCGGAUGACUGGGCGUAAGGGCGUGUAGGCGGCGAUUUAAGUUUGGAGUGAAAGUCCCGUUUUCAAGAUGGGAAUUGCUUUGGAUACUGGAUUGCUUGAGUACAGAAGAGGUAAGCGGAAUUCCCGGUGUAGCGGUGAAAUGCGUAGAGAUCGGGAGGAACACCAGUGGCGAAGGCGGCUUACUGGGCUGUAACUGACGCUGAGGCGCGUAAGCGUGGGGAGCGAACAGGAUUAGAUACCCUGGUAGUCCACGCGGUAAACGAUGAAUGCUAGGUGUAGCGGGUAUCGCCCCUGCUGUGCCGCAGUAAACACAAUAAGCAUUCCGCCUGGGGAGUACGGCCGCAAGGUUGAAACUCAAAGGAAUUGACGGGGGCCCGCACAAGCGGUGGAGUAUGUGGUUUAAUUCGACGCAACGCGAAGAACCUUACCAGGGCUUGACAUUGAGUGAAAGAUCUAGAGAUAGAUCCCUCCCUUAGGGGACACGAAAACAGGUGGUGCAUGGCGGUAGUCAUCUCGUGUCUUGAGAUGUUGGGUUAAGUCCCGCAACGAGCGCAACCCUUAUCUUUAGUAGCCAGCAUUUCGGAUGGGCACUCUAGAGAGACUGCCCGGGUGAACCGGGAGGAAGGUGGGGAUGACGUCAAAUCAUCAUGCCCUUUAUGAUUUGGGCUACACACUUGCUACAAUGGUGGCAACAAAGAGGAGCGAGCGUGCAAGCGUAAGCGGAUCUCAAAAAAGCCAUCUCAGUUUGGACUGUGGGCUGCAACCCGCCCACACGAAGUUGGAGUUGCUUGUAAUCGCGAAUCAGAAUGUCGCGGUGAAUACGUUCCCGGGCCUUGUACACACCGCCCGUCACACCAUGGGAGUUGGGAGCACCCAAAGCCGGUGAGCUAACUCAAGAGGCAGCCGUCCAAGGUGAGACCGAUGACUGGGGUGAAGUCGUAACAAGGUAGCCGUAUCGGAAGGUGCGGCUGGAUCACCUCCUU
RNAcentral lists this ribosomal RNA (1506 nucleotides) under uncultured Bacillota bacterium. RNAcentral's name for it is "bacterial SSU rRNA". It matches the Rfam family "Bacterial small subunit ribosomal RNA". The record is from RNAcentral. Lineage: Bacteria; Bacillati; Bacillota.